This 252-nucleotide ribosomal RNA is filed under the name uncultured bacterium. RNAcentral describes it as "partial 16S ribosomal RNA". It matches the Rfam family "Bacterial small subunit ribosomal RNA", at positions 524 to 776 of the family's 1533-position model. The record is from RNAcentral.
UACGGAGGGUGCGAGCGUUGUCCGGAAUCACUGGGCGUAAAGGCGCGUAGGCGGCCUGAUAAGUAGGGGGUGAAAUCCUGCGGCUUAACCGCAGGGCUGCCUUCUAAACUGUCGGGCUCGAGCACGGUAGAGGCAGAUGGAAUUCCCGGUGUAGCGGUGGAAUGCGUAGAGAUCGGGAAGAACAUCAGUGGCGAAGGCGGUCUGCUGGGCCGUUGCUGACGCUGAGGCGCGACAGCGUGGGGAGCAAACAGG